RNAcentral lists this ribosomal RNA (497 nucleotides) under uncultured bacterium. Its description in RNAcentral is "partial 16S ribosomal RNA". It matches the Rfam family "Bacterial small subunit ribosomal RNA", at positions 28 to 507 of the family's 1533-position model. The record is from RNAcentral.
GAUGAACGCUGGCGGCGUGCCUAACACAUGCAAGUCGAACGGACAGACGAGGAGUUUGUGCGUUUGACGUUAGCGGAGGGCGGGUGAGUAACGCGUGGAUCACCCACUUAUAUUUCGGGGAAAAUCACGGAAAGGCGGUGAUAAUACCAGAGAAUAUAAUGAACCGUAGGGUGCAUUGGAGAAUGACGGCUUUGGUGGCUGGAAUAGAUGGAUCCGCGCCGGAUUGGCUGGUUGGUAGGGUCACGGCUUACCAAGGCUACGAUGCGUAGCCGAGCUGAGGGGGUGAUCGGCCACACUGGAACUGAGACACGGUCCAGACUCCUACGGGAGGCAGCAGUGGGGAAUGUUCCGCAAUGGGCGCAAGCCUGACGCAGCCACGCCGCGUGAGUGAUGAAGGUCUUCGGAUCGUAAAGCCCUUUUAUUGGGGAAGAACAGAUGUGUAAUUAAACAUAGCCGUCUUGACGGUACCUAAUAAAGAAGCACCGGCUAACUACGUG